UUGAAGCUCAUAAGCGUGCAAGCAGAUGCCGUCGCACCGCCUCACCUCGAAUGCGAGAGCGGGAAGCCGGGAACUGUGCCGGCCGUCGCUGCGCCACCAGCUGGUCAUAGUCACGGACACCACCAUGUCACCGCACAAGCAGCAGGUGCCGCCACGACACCGCGCAGGCGAGCUGUCGCCGCCAGAAGUACCAACGCAGGCACUGUCGCGGGCAAGCAUGCACACCGAGCAGCCAACAUCGCCGCCUCAUGGGCGUGCGCACGGGAGCAGGCACCGCCAUACGAGCAAGUAUGCAGCCUGGCUACCCGUGGGCAAGCACAUAUGCUAAGCCGUCGUGCCCGAACGCACGUAGGCUGGGCUGUUGACGCCGAAGGCGAGCAGGCGAGGGUAGAAACCGCCGCCACUGCCGUAAUCGAGCAAGCGUGGGCCUCGCCGCCACUGCCGCGAACAGGCACGGGCUUCCCGAGCGAGCAGGCCGAGCCGCUGCCGCAGGCAAGCGAGCAGGCUCCGUGCCGUCGCCCCGAGCAAGCACGCUGA
This 537-nucleotide unclassified non-coding RNA is filed under the name Zea mays. Its description in RNAcentral is "misc RNA Zm00001eb295780". The record is from RNAcentral. Lineage: Eukaryota; Viridiplantae; Streptophyta; Magnoliopsida; Poales; Poaceae.